UACGAAGGGGGCUAGCGUUGUUCGGAAUUACUGGGCGUAAAGCGCACGUAGGCGGACUCUUAAGUCGGUGGUGAAAUCCUGGAGCUCAACUCCAGAACUGCCUUCGAUACUGAGAGUCUCGAGUCCGAGAGAGGUGAGUGGAACUGCGAGUGUAGAGGUGAAAUUCGUAGAUAUUCGCAAGAACACCAGUGGCGAAGGCGGCUCACUGGCUCGGUACUGACGCUGAGGUGCGAAAGCGUGGGGAGCAAACAGG
This 253-nucleotide ribosomal RNA is filed under the name uncultured bacterium. RNAcentral describes it as "partial 16S ribosomal RNA". It matches the Rfam family "Bacterial small subunit ribosomal RNA", at positions 524 to 776 of the family's 1533-position model. The record is from RNAcentral.